Molecule: ribosomal RNA, 440 nt
Filed under: uncultured bacterium
Lineage: Bacteria
Description: partial 16S ribosomal RNA
Rfam family: Bacterial small subunit ribosomal RNA
Source: RNAcentral
CCUACGGGGGGCAGCAGUAGGGAAUAUUGCUCAAUGGGGGAAACCCUGAAGCAGCAACGCCGCGUGGAGGAUGAAGGUCUUCGGAUCGUAAACUCCUUUUGGUAGAGAAGAUCAUGACCGUAUCUCAUGAAUAAGCACUUGCCAAUUCCGUGCCAGCAGCCGCGGUAUUACGGAGGGUGCAAGGGUUACUCGGAAUGGCUGGGCGUAACGCGUGCGCAGGCGGGAUUGUAAGUCAGAUGUGAAAUCCUGUAGCUUAACCACGGAACUGCAUUUGAAACUCGGAGUCUAGAGUGUGUGAGAGGUAGGUGGAAUUCUUGGUGUAGGAGCGAAAUCCGUAGAUAUCAAGAGGAAUACUCAUGGCGAAGGCGACCUACUGGAACAUUACUGACGCUCAUGAGCGAAAGCGUGGGUAGCAAACAGGAUUAGAUACCCUUGUAGUC